GAUCCUGGCUCAGGAUGAACGCUAGCUACAGGCUUAACACAUGCAAGUCGAGGGGCAGCGGGAAGUCAGCUUGCUGACUUUGCCGGCGACCGGCGCACGGGUGAGUAACACGUAUCCAACCUUCCCGUUACUCUGGAAUAGCCUUUCGAAGAAAGAUUAAUACCGGAUAGUAUCGAGAGAUUGCAUGAUUACCCGAUUAAAGAUUCAUCGGUAACGGAUGGGGAUGCGUUCCGAUUAGGCUAGG
RNAcentral lists this ribosomal RNA (244 nucleotides) under uncultured bacterium. RNAcentral's name for it is "partial 16S ribosomal RNA". It matches the Rfam family "Bacterial small subunit ribosomal RNA", at positions 15 to 250 of the family's 1533-position model. The record is from RNAcentral.